GGGCCCGCACAAGCGGAGGAACAUGUGGUUUAAUUCGAUGAUACGCGAGGAACCUUACCCGGGCUCGAACGGCUAAUGAAUGUACUGGAAACAGUACAGUCUUCGGACAUUAGUCGAGGUGCUGCAUGGUUGUCGUCAGCUCGUGCCGUGAGGUGUCGGCUUAAGUGCCAUAACGAGCGCAACCCUUAUCUUUAGUUACCAUCAGGUCAAGCUGGGGACUCUGAAGAGACUGCCACCGUAAGGUGUGAGGAAGGUGGGGAUGACGUCAAAUCAGCACGGCCCUUACGUCCGGGGCGACACACGUGUUACAAUGGGUGGGACAGCAGGUUGCUACCUGGUGACAGGAUGGCUAAUCCAUGAAACCCACUCCCAGUUCGGAUCGAAGUCUGCAACCCGACUUCGUGAAGCUGGAUUCGCUAGUAAUCGCGCAUCAGCCAUGGCG
Molecule: ribosomal RNA, 442 nt
Filed under: uncultured Bacteroidota bacterium
Lineage: Bacteria; Pseudomonadati; Bacteroidota
Description: bacterial SSU rRNA
Rfam family: Bacterial small subunit ribosomal RNA
Source: RNAcentral